Molecule: ribosomal RNA, 247 nt
Filed under: uncultured bacterium
Lineage: Bacteria
Description: partial 16S ribosomal RNA
Rfam family: Bacterial small subunit ribosomal RNA
Source: RNAcentral
CACGCCGUAAACGAUGAGUACUAGGUGUAGGGGGUAUCGACCCCCCCUGUGCCGCAGUAAACACAAUAAGUACUCCGCCUGGGAAGUACGAUCGCAAGAUUAAAACUCAAAGGAAUUGACGGGGACCCGCACAAGCAGCGGAGCAUGUGGUUUAAUUCGAAGCAACGCGAAGAACCUUACCAAGGCUUGACAUCCCUCUGACCGGUGUAGAGAUACACCUUCUCUUCGGAGCAGAGGUGACAGGUGG